Long non-coding RNA from Physeter macrocephalus (sperm whale), 348 nucleotides. RefSeq lists it as uncharacterized. The transcript has 4 exons. Lineage: Eukaryota; Metazoa; Chordata; Mammalia; Artiodactyla; Physeteridae. The record is from RefSeq and is a predicted model, not a curated record.
AGGAACAGCCAGAUAAAACAGUAGAUAUAAGUGAUUUGGCCACCAAGCUCCUGGACAGUUGGAAAGACCUAAAGCUUCUCAGGGCAGCAAGGAGCUUGUUAACAUCACCAGCUGACCAUGUGUCUCCUUUUCUCAACUCCAUUUUCAACUUCGUGCUGAAGAAAAACAAGAACCUAGCGUGCAUUCUAUGAAGAAAACAGGAAGAUGGUUGGGAAGUUGGAUGAUGCAUGAAAAAUAUAAUAGGAGGUAUAUCGAAUUCCAAAGAAAAGUCAAACUGAAAAGGAGAGCACAAUAACCGAACGAGGAAGGGAUGCUGUUGGCUUCAGAGAUCAAACAGUUGCCCCAAAG